RNAcentral lists this transfer RNA (63 nucleotides) under Listeria monocytogenes. RNAcentral's name for it is "partial tRNA-Ile". It matches the Rfam family "tRNA", at positions 14 to 71 of the family's 71-position model. From Rfam's summary of the family: Transfer RNA (tRNA) molecules are approximately 80 nucleotides in length. Their secondary structure includes four short double-helical elements and three loops (D, anti-codon, and T loops). The record is from RNAcentral. Lineage: Bacteria; Bacillati; Bacillota; Bacilli; Caryophanales; Listeriaceae.
AGCUGGUUAGAGCGCACGCCUGAUAAGCGUGAGGUCGAUGGUUCGAGUCCAUUUAGGCCCACU